AUCUUUUUCUUUGUGCCCAUCUAGACAGUGACAGGCGUGCUGCGGUGUUCUUGCAACGCAAGUGAUAGUGGGGGUAGAGCAUGCUGAAAGAUGUGUUCUUUGCUGGAAUAAGCUUCUUCCUUAUCACAGCCAGUAAUAGCACUGUAUUAUUUUAGCUUUUGAAAGAGAUGAGCCUGUUUUUGCAAAAAGGCAGAUGCCCUCAGUUCCCAUUGACUUUGAGCACAGCUAGCAUUGCUCAGUGCCCUGCAGAAGAAAGGCUCUGGGGGAGUACUGCUAAGGGAGGCUGAGGGGCUCUGACAGUGCUAAUCCUUGUAAAUGUAGGGGUGCUACACUGCUUGCACAGAGUGUCACUACCGUAGUAGUGCCCCCCGUCCACGAUGGAAUCCGGUUCUUCCCCACAGCAGACAUUCCUCACACUGGUAUGGAGCACAGCUGGAGAGGAGAUAUCUUCUACAGAAUAAAGAGAAAUAGUUGCCCAGCUCUAACCCUGAGACCUGCACCAGUUGUGCCCUGUUGGCUGUAUCUCCGGAAAGCAAGGUUCUGAGGAGCAACCAGCUUGCUGUGCUUCCUGCAGUGACCCGCUGACAUGACUAGCCCUGCCUCAGAUACAGCAUCACCUCCUCUCUGCCUGUGCUGCUUGCCAGCCUGCAAUUCCCAAGACACCUCAUGUGAGCCCCAAGACUCACGUGCAGGCCUCCUUGUUCUGUAUCUACCAUUUCGAACUGCAGAUGCACGGUGUGCCUGGCUGCCUUCUUUUGCCUUCUUUCUUGCAUCCUCUGCACUGAACAGAGCAUUGCUUAGAGAAGGAAAAAAACUGUUUAGUUCCCUGCUUACAGCAGAACGCUGAACUGAUGUCUGGUGCUCCCUGCUGUGGACCUCUUUGCUCUGGGCUUCACAGGCAAAUAAGUCACCUUGAUGCCAAUAUUUGUCCCUGUUUCCUGAUGCAAUGAAUAAAUCACGCUGCUGUUCCUU
Molecule: long non-coding RNA, 972 nt
Organism: Gallus gallus (chicken)
Lineage: Eukaryota; Metazoa; Chordata; Aves; Galliformes; Phasianidae
Source: Ensembl